UUUUUCAUUUUUAUGUGUCUUCGCUUGAAACGAUAAAAAAAUAUUUUAGAAAGAUACCAGUAAUAAUCCUUGAAAUAAAACUCAGGAUGCACCUGAGUGUGUUAUGUGUCUUCACUGUCAACAAACAAAGCAAACGAGAAAGAACACAAACAAAAAGAAUUUAAAGUGUGCGAAAAUUCCCGUUUUCUUCUAAAUUAUUAAAUUAAACGUGCACCGCAAGCUAACGAAACGACGGGAAACUCAGUAAUCGUCAUUUGUUUGGUUUAUUUCGCUUCUGCAAGAUCUACCGGAAGUGAAACUAGGGCCAUUUCUCCCCAGGGCCAGGGAAGGGUGCAGGCCAGUACGUUCAACAUUAUGUUGACCAAAGCUCCAACAGCCGAAGCUGAGGCGGAAACAGGAAGUUUGAGGUUAUGAAGCUAAUUUCGCUCCGCUCCGGAACCCAACAAGGAAACAGCAUUUGAGAAACAACAAAAAACCUGAUGCUCGGUGCGCCUGUAAACAGCGCCGGAACCCGUAACAGAAAAUUUGACAACUGAAAGCUGCUUCUAGUUCGUUACUUCCGCAACACGAUCAGCAUGCCACUCGUCGUCACCAAAGACUAGCGAAAACACUGCGGAAUGAAAUUACUUAAACCCGCUACUACCAAAUGAGACUGUAGCCAUGGUGGCUUUCGAGAAUACGAUGUAAAUAGCCCGCAGCAAUGUUCUGUUUCCCAGAAGGCAGGACGACUACGUGGAAAACUACUCCAAAGUUUUCUAGGACAGUUAACGGCGCUUCCACCAACAAUGUACAUGCCGCCUCUAGUUAAGCAUCGAAGCCCGAAUUUGUCAGGAACCUGAUUAAGGUGUAUGUAUCUGGGCAUUUUAAUCAUGACAAUAAAAUCAUUCGAGAGGAUCGGUGACAUUAUAGAGGCAGGAAUUGACAGAAUGACUGUUCUCAUGCUUUAGCUGAGCACAUGAGAGGUGGUAAAGGAUCACCCGUUUCUUUUAACACCCUCCCAGUGGCCGGAUACCAUCACACCACGCUUACCAAUCACCAGAUCACCACAUUGAGUCGUACCAUCCGAUCAAGAAUAAUUCUGUCACGAAUUAAAGAAUCUUCCUUCAAUCUGCAGGAGAGAAAAAUAGAUUUGGCAAUUGGCGAUAAAUAAGCUCCAAAUCGAUAUGAAGAAUCCAACCUGGCAGAUUCGCGUGACGGAGCAGUUCACCUCUUCAGUAAUUUGGUGCUUAAACUGGUGUUUUGAACAUAUCCCAAGAAUUUUACAACGCAACACGAUUAAGCAGUCACGAAUCUUGUUGAUCCGGAAUUAGCCGAGAAUUAUUUGCUACUACGGAAUUUAUCGAAGCCAAUAUCUAACUGAUUUCGAUCGAUAUUUCGAGACACAGAAAGAUCCCUAAAACAUUAUUUUUGUGUUACCGAUUUUGGACGACUUGAACUUCAAACGGAACACAAGGAAGAAAAUGACUUCGAGUUCAUUCGUUCACCAGUCUUGGAUCAGGAUUCCCGAAUAUGAUCAGCUAGAAGAGAGAAGGACUCGGGUUUAUGAUGAUUAUAGAUUCCUUAUGCCAAAUCAGAUCAGCAUCCACUAUGAAACAUGGCAAGCGUCAUUGAUAAGCGCAGAUAUCAUUCGUCAGGUGCUGAAAACAAGUGGACAAGAUGUGGAACUCACCGACCAUAAUUACGGAUGACCUCCUGCGCAUCAAAUAAAUUGCUUAUGUUGGGUUUUGAUUGAUUGGAUUUCUGGUAAAUUGAGAUUUUUUUUUAAAUAAAUAUCAAUAAAACGCCACCUAUUACCGAAA
Molecule: long non-coding RNA, 1799 nt
Organism: Uranotaenia lowii
Lineage: Eukaryota; Metazoa; Arthropoda; Insecta; Diptera; Culicidae
Exons: 7
Source: RefSeq, a predicted model, not a curated record